CACUCCUACGGGAGGCAGCAGUGGGGAAUAUUGGACAAUGGGCGCAAGCCUGAUCCAGCCAUGCCGCGUGAGUGAUGAAGGCCCUAGGGUUGUAAAGCUCUUUCACCGGUGAAGAUAAUGACGGUAACCGGAGAAGAAGCCCCGGCUAACUUCGUGCCAGCAGCCGCGGUAAUACGAAGGGGGCUAGCGUUGUUCGGAUUUACUGGGCGUAAAGCGCACGUAGGCGGACUAUUAAUUCAGGGGUGAAAUCCCGGGGCUCAACCCCGGAACUGCCUUUGAUACUGGUAGUCUGGAGUUCGAGAGAGGUGAGUGGAAUUCCGAGUGUAGAGGUGAAAUUCGUAGAUAUUCGGAGGAACACCAGUGGCGAAGGCGGCUCACUGGCUCGAUACUGACGCUGAGGUGCGAAAGCGUGGGGAGCAAACAGGAUUAGAUACCCUUGUAGUCCCAUGA
RNAcentral lists this ribosomal RNA (450 nucleotides) under uncultured organism. Its description in RNAcentral is "partial 16S ribosomal RNA". It matches the Rfam family "Bacterial small subunit ribosomal RNA", at positions 334 to 800 of the family's 1533-position model. The record is from RNAcentral.